Molecule: long non-coding RNA, 2514 nt
Organism: Thalassophryne amazonica
Lineage: Eukaryota; Metazoa; Chordata; Actinopteri; Batrachoidiformes; Batrachoididae
Exons: 3
Source: RefSeq, a predicted model, not a curated record
CCUGUUAUUUCAGAUUAGAUCAACUCUUGUUUAACAUAAGGAACCUUGGACACUUAUUUUUAGACAUAAAAUAACAUAAAACAAGAACAUCACGCCGACUUACAGAAUACUGUAACUUUUAAUUUUACUGAAUGUAUUUUAACUUGUGGCUACGUCAUCUGGGCUACUGUAAUCCACCUCUGUGGAUAGCUACAGAGGCUAAAGUAGAAAUAACUCAGCCGUUAGGUUUUAUGGAGGUUUGAGGUUGUGUUUUUCACAGUGGAAACACACUUUUAAUAUUAGCCAGUGAAUGAUCCGCCAUCUUCCCAGAUAACAGCUAUUUGAAUUUUGAGCGUGGCGUAAUGGCCGUGAGCAACUUGUGAUCUGAGGCAAAGCUCCAGAUCUCUCUCUCGCUGUUUUUUAAUGUACACUUAAAAAUUGAGCAUUGUAAUUAUUCUAUUAUUAAUAACCAUUUUAUUUCAUUUUUAGGGCAAGGAGAACACUGGUGUCAUCAAACGGCCUGAAAAAGUAAUGAUAUGGUUGUGUAAGAAUUGCAGCUUUAGAACAUCAACACGUUUACAACUCUUAAAGCAUUAUAGGUUGAAACAUUUACCCACUGGUCGGGCACUGCCAUGCUUGUACUCAGAUUGUCCUUGUUCUUUCAAAAGUUGGGGUGCACUUCGCACACAUAUAUCAAGGGAUCACGUACAGACUGAACAAUUAGGGCAAAGUGUUUCAUUUUGUUGUCUUCUCUGUAAUUCACCUAAUUUUGACACAGAGGCGCAAUAUUUUGAACACCUGGGAGUUCAUCUGAAAAAACACGAAACUGUUGUGUUUUUAAAGACUGUAAUUACAGUACAAAUAUAUAUUCAACCUUUGCAUCACAUAAAAGUAGGAAGCACAAUCCUCACUGCCUUGAAGAUUUUAACCACACCGUAUUUCAGAGAUACUCAAUUCGGACAACAGAAGAUAGUUGUCAGUUGGUUGAUGAAAGUGACAUUUCAUCUGAUGAAACACUUGUCAAUGAGGGUGAAGAUUUAGGUAAAGUAAUUGUUAAUCAUCUUGCUUCAUUGUUACUUAAAUUAAACUGCAUCUUCAAUGUUCCAAAUAGAUGUAUAGAUGAGAUUGUAGAGGAGCUCCAAUUCAUUAGUUGUUCAGCAUCUACACCUGUUAUAAAAAAUAUUGUAACACAUUAAAAAACCAUAACUGCACUGUUGAUGGCUUGGUCAUCAAAGAUUUGGUAAAUAGCAUUUGCCAGUCAAAUCCUCUUGGCUCAGGCUUAAGUAAAAAAGGUCCUCUUGGUACAGCAUUCCAAACUUCACUGCCUACCCAACUGGUCUUCAAAUACUGGCAGUUGUAGAGGCUUUAAUUCGAAAGCAUCUUUGUCUCAGGGAACCUACAUCAUUUUCAGGCAUGUAUGGAUGGCAGCAGCGUCUUAAAUACAAGAUGGCUAAUUACCGUACAAAAAUGAAAAGACGUGAUAUACCUUGUCCUGAGCUCGACAUCAACUCCUUGAAAAGGAAAUCCCCUGGUGAGAAAAAUCCUGCAAAAAAUUGCAAGAGACCAAAGAGGGCAGAGGUCAACUACCUACCUCCAGAUCCACCUGGAGAAACUAGCGACAGUCUCGAGAUUGAGAGACGGGAGCUUCUUCUUGAGGUUAAAAAGAAGAACAACACAAAGUUGAUUCAGGAAAAGAUGGCCAAAACGUUCUCCUGUCAAAGGCUUGAGGUUGUGAGUGGUAGUCCAGCCGUUGCUGAUUUUAAAGAAAGAUGGCCUGCUUUGUUUUGCGAAGCUGAGGUAGGUGAAGCUAUUGCAACAAAACAUACAGAAAAUGCAUUGGUUUUCCAUUGUUGCUAUUAAACACGGGUGUGCUUGUGAAUCUUGUCAUUUCAGAUUAAGGAAGAAUUCAGGAGAAUUACGGAAAUCUCUUUGGAACAUACCUUCAUGUCCAAACUGGACUACUAUACACCUAAACUGAUUGCCUUGAUGAAAAUUAAGGGAGGUGUCCUGGGGACCAAGCUGAGGCCAUUACUUGACAAACUAAGUCAGAACCAAGGCAUUGAGAUGAGACGUGAAACUACUCCGUGGCCUCAUAGUCUACCUUGGAGAGAAAGAAGAGGAACCAUUUGAAGAUUGCCUGGAGGACAACCGCAGUGAUGCCACUCAGCACAUCCUAAAGAUUCUGGUUGUCCAUGGGCCGGAUGGAGAAGAUCCAGUGGAUGUAUCUAUCCUUCUUGAAGGCCAGGAGAUGUUGCCAGGAUGCGGCAAUGGUGCCAAAGCUUGUGCACUGCUAAUGGGACUGAUUUAUGCCCUCAACCUUGCAUACCCCUCACCACUGCGCUACACCUGUGAGGUCUUUCAGAAACUUUUCUUGGAACUGGAUGGGAUUAAGUUAUCCCCAAAAGUGCAAGCUUUAAAGUUGAAAUUGUUGUCUUAAAUUUUGUAGCCAAAGAAACGGUAUAUAACAGGGGUGGGCAAUGAGGGCUGAGACACUGCAGGUUUUCCUUGCAACCAAUCACCUCAGCAGGUGGGUUG